AAUAUGGUCUUUUUAAAUACCAUCAACAGUUCCUGAAAAAGAAAUU
Fukomys damarensis (Damara mole-rat) is the source of this 46-nucleotide non-coding RNA. Lineage: Eukaryota; Metazoa; Chordata; Mammalia; Rodentia; Bathyergidae. The record is from Rfam.